Molecule: ribosomal RNA, 255 nt
Filed under: Escherichia coli
Lineage: Bacteria; Pseudomonadati; Pseudomonadota; Gammaproteobacteria; Enterobacterales; Enterobacteriaceae
Also listed under: 1 other name
Description: partial 23S ribosomal RNA
Rfam family: Bacterial large subunit ribosomal RNA
Source: RNAcentral
ACCCCAAACCGACACAGGUGGUCAGGUAGAGAAUACCAAGGCGCUUGAGAGAACUCGGGUGAAGGAACUAGGCAAAAUGGUGCCGUAACUUCGGGAGAAGGCACGCUGAUAUGUAGGUGAGGUCCCUCGCGGAUGGAGCUGAAAUCAGUCGAAGAUACCAGCUGGCUGCAACUGUUUAUUAAAAACACAGCACUGUGCAAACACGAAAGUGGACGUAUACGGUGUGACGCCUGCCCGGUGCCGGAAGGUUAAUUG